Molecule: ribosomal RNA, 253 nt
Filed under: uncultured bacterium
Lineage: Bacteria
Description: partial 16S ribosomal RNA
Rfam family: Bacterial small subunit ribosomal RNA
Source: RNAcentral
UACGGGGGGGGCAAGCGUUGUUCGGAAUUACUGGGCGUAAAGGGCUCGUAGGCGGCCAACUAAGCCAGACGUGAAAUCCCUCGGCUUAACCGGGGAACUGCGUCUGAUACUGGAUGGCUUGAGUUCGGGAGAGGGAUGCGGAAUUCCAGGUGUAGCGGUGAAAUGCGUAGAUAUCUGGAGGAACACCGGUGGCGAAGGCGGCAUCCUGGACCGAUACUGACGCUGAGGAGCGAAAGCCAGGGGAGCAAACGGG